Molecule: ribosomal RNA, 433 nt
Filed under: uncultured bacterium
Lineage: Bacteria
Description: partial 16S ribosomal RNA
Rfam family: Bacterial small subunit ribosomal RNA
Source: RNAcentral
AACGAACGCUGGCGGCAUGCCUAACACAUGCAAGUCGAACGAGACCUUCGGGUCUAGUGGCGCACGGGUGCGUAACGCGUGGGAACCUGCCCUUAGGUUCGGAAUAACUCCCCGAAAGGGGUGCUAAUACCGGAUAAUGUCUUCGGACCAAAGAUUGAUCGCCUUUGGAUGGGCCCGCGUUGGAUUAGCUAGUUGGUAGGGUAAAAGCCUACCAAGGCGACGAUCCAUAGCUGGUCUGAGAGGAUGAUCAGCCACACUGGGACUGAGACACGGCCCAGACUCCUACGGGAGGCAGCAGUGGGGAAUCUUGGACAAUGGGCGAAAGCCUGAUCCAGCAAUGCCGCGUGAGUGAUGAAGGCCUUAGGGUUGUAAAGCUCUUUUACCCGGGAUGAUAAUGACAGUACCGGGAGAAUAAGCUCCGGCUAACUCCGUG